GAUGAACGCUGGCGGCGUGCCUAAUACAUGCAAGUCGAGCGAACGGACGAGAAGCUUGCUUCUCUGAUGUUAGCGGCGGACGGGUGAGUAACACGUGGAUAACCUACCUAUAAGACUGGGAUAACUUCGGGAAACCGGAGCUAAUACCGGAUAAUAUUUUGAACCGCAUGGUUCAAAAGCGAAAGACGGUCUUGCUGUCACUUAUAGAUGGAUCCGCGCUGCAUUAGCUAGUUGGUAAGGUAACGGCUUACCAAGGCAACGAUGCAUAGCCGACCUGAGAGGGUGAUCGGCCACACUGGAACUGAGACACGGUCCAGACUCCUACGGGAGGCAGCAGUAGGGAAUCUUCCGCAAUGGGCGAAAGCCUGACGGAGCAACGCCGCGUGAGUGAUGAAGGUCUUCGGAUCGUAAAACUCUGUUAUUAGGGAAGAACAUAUGUGUAAGUAACUGUGCACAUCUUGACGGUACCUAAUCAGAAAGCCACGGCUAACUACGUG
RNAcentral lists this ribosomal RNA (497 nucleotides) under uncultured bacterium. Its description in RNAcentral is "partial 16S ribosomal RNA". It matches the Rfam family "Bacterial small subunit ribosomal RNA", at positions 28 to 507 of the family's 1533-position model. The record is from RNAcentral.